UGCAGUCGAGCGAGGGCUCUUCUCCCGCAAGGGAGGGGAGUUCCUAGCGGCAAACGGGUGAGUAACACGUGGGCAACCUGCCCCGUCGUGGGGAAUAAGCCCGGGAAACCGGGUCUAAUGCCGCAUGUCGUCAUCGGAGGCAUCUCCGAUGAAGAAAGCAGCAAUGCGCGACGGGAUGGGCCCGCGGCCUAUCAGCUUGUUGGUGGGGUAACGGCCUACCAAGGCUAUGACGGGUAGCUGGUCUGAGAGGAUGAUCAGCCACACGGGGACUGCGACACGGCCCCGACUCCUACGGGAGGCAGCAGUGAGGAAUCUUCCGCAAUGGGCGAAAGCCUGACGGAGCGACGCCGCGUGUGGGAUGAAGUCCCUCGGGAUGUAAACCACUGUCGGAGGGGAAGAGAACGGACGGUACCCUCCAAGAAAGCCCCGGCUAACUACGUGCCAGCAGCCGCGGUAAUACGUAGGGGGCGAGCGUUACCCGGAUUUACUGGGCGUAAAGCGCGUGUAGGCGGCUGGUCAAGCGUGGUGUGAAAUCCCUCGGCUCAACCGAGGAACUGCAUCGCGAACUGGCCUGGCUAGAGUGCAGGAGAGGGUGGUGGAAUUCCCGGUGUAGCGGUGAAAUGCGUAGGUAUCGGGAGGAACACCAGUGGCGAAGGCGACCACCUGGCCUGUAACUGACGCUGAAACGCGAAAGUGUGGGGAGCGAACCGGAUUAGAUACCCGGGUAGUCCACACCCUAAACGUUGCGAACUAGGUGUUGGCAAGAUUGACCUUGUCAGUGCCGCAGCUAACGCAUUAAGUUCGCCGCCUGGGAA
Molecule: ribosomal RNA, 815 nt
Filed under: uncultured Bacillota bacterium
Lineage: Bacteria; Bacillati; Bacillota
Description: bacterial SSU rRNA
Rfam family: Bacterial small subunit ribosomal RNA
Source: RNAcentral